This 632-nucleotide long non-coding RNA is filed under the name Homo sapiens (human). RNAcentral describes it as "HSALNT0195387". Lineage: Eukaryota; Metazoa; Chordata; Mammalia; Primates; Hominidae. The record is from RNAcentral.
GAUGGCUUAAUCAUUGCAGGCCAACACCCAGCCUGGAUCUGCCUGAUGGACAACAGUAUUGAUAGUCUAGCUGACCCUUGUUCGACAAGCUGACAUUCCCCGUAUUUCACAGGCCGACGCUGGACGUGCAUCAAAGAGACUGUCAGGUCACCAAACAGCUAAUUAAAGCAAUAAAGAGUCAGGAAGGCUAAAUGGCCCCUUUCCUCCUCAGGAGCCUAAGGUCCCUUGUAGGAACCUGCAUGGUUCCUUCUUCCCUGGAAGUGCAGUCCAAGAUGGAGAGGAUAUUGGGGAAUGUCCCAGCAAGCCCUCGGAUCAGAAAAAGGAUGAAGGACCUUUGUUGACAUAUCCCCAAGAAGCUACUGGCAUUGAGUCUGAUAUAUGGCAUCAAUUUCCUCCAAUUCCUAGUUCAAAUGUCACAAUGUCACUACAGCCCUGCUGAGGGGACCUGAAUCACACCUCCGUGUAUUAGGUGGCCAACUUGAGAAAAAUCUAUAUUGGACCAGAAUGGAAAACAUGGCAGUGACAUAUCUGCAAACAAGUGUCGCACAGACAGUUCACCACCGAGAAAGGUGUUGACUUCAUAUUUUAUGUAUCUAAUCUCAGAGAAUUUUUAAAAGAGUGAAAAUAAAAAU